GACGAACGCUGGCGGCGUGCUUAACACAUGCAAGUCGAACGGAAAGGCCCUGCUUUUGUGGGGUGCUCGAGUGGCGAACGGGUGAGUAACACGUGAGUAACCUGCCCUUGACUUUGGGAUAACUUCAGGAAACUGGGGCUAAUACCGGAUAGGAGCUCCUGCUGCAUGGUGGGGGUUGGAAAGUUUCGGCGGUUGGGGAUGGACUCGCGGCUUAUCAGCUUGUUGGUGGGGUAGUGGCUUACCAGGGCUUUGACGGGUAGCCGGCCUGAGAGGGUGACCGGCCACAUUGGGACUGAGAUACGGCCCAGACUCCUACGGGAGACAGCAGUGGGGAAUAUUGCACAAUGGGCGGAAGCCUGAUGCAGCAACGCCGCGUGCGGGAUGACGGCCUUCGGGUUGUAAACCGCUUUCGCCUGUGACGAAGCGUGAGUGACGGUAAUGGGUAAAGAAGCACCGGCUAACUACGUG
This 468-nucleotide ribosomal RNA is filed under the name uncultured bacterium. RNAcentral describes it as "partial 16S ribosomal RNA". It matches the Rfam family "Bacterial small subunit ribosomal RNA", at positions 28 to 507 of the family's 1533-position model. The record is from RNAcentral.